RNAcentral lists this ribosomal RNA (658 nucleotides) under Calanus finmarchicus. RNAcentral's name for it is "SSU rRNA". It matches the Rfam family "Eukaryotic small subunit ribosomal RNA", at positions 26 to 681 of the family's 1831-position model. The record is from RNAcentral. Lineage: Eukaryota; Metazoa; Arthropoda; Copepoda; Calanoida; Calanidae.
AUAUGCUUGUCUCAAAGAUUAAGCCAUGCAUGUCCAAGUACAAGCCUCACUAAGGUGAAACCGCGAAUGGCUCAUUAAAUCACACCUAAUCUACUGGAUAGUUAACAGGUACUUGGAUACCUGCGGUAAUUCUGGAGCUAAUACAUGCGAAAAGCCUCGAACUUACGUGAGAGGCGCUUUUAUUAGAUCAAAACCAAUCGGCUUCGGCUGUACUCUUGGUGACUCUGAAUAACUUUGGGCUGAUCGUAUAGCCUUGCGCUGACGACAUAUCCUUCGAAGGUGUGCCCUAUCAACUGUCGACUGUGGCAUAGACGCCCACAGUGGUUUUGGACGGGUAACGGGGAAUCAGGGUUCGAUUCCGGAGAGGGAGCCUUAAAAACGGCUACCACAUCUAAGGAAGGCAGCAGGCACGCAAAUUACCCAAUGAUCGAAGAUCGAGGUAGUGACGAAAAAUAACGAUCCAGGACUCAUCCGAGGCCCUGGAAUCGGAAUGAGUACACUUUAAAACCGUCCCCGAGGAUCUAUUGGAGGGCAAGUCUGGUGCCAGCAGCCGCGGUAAUUCCAGCUCCAAUAGCGUAUAUUAAAGUUGUUGUGGUUAAAAAGCUCGUAGUUGGAUCUCGGCGGACUGAGGGCGGUUUGCUUGCUAGUAUUACUGCCC